RNAcentral lists this ribosomal RNA (254 nucleotides) under uncultured bacterium. RNAcentral's name for it is "partial 16S ribosomal RNA". It matches the Rfam family "Bacterial small subunit ribosomal RNA", at positions 524 to 776 of the family's 1533-position model. The record is from RNAcentral.
UACGGGGGGAGCAAGCGUUGUUCGGAUUUACUGGGCGUAAAGGGCGCGUAGGCGGUCACAACAAGUCAGUUGUGAAAUCUCUGGGCUUAACUCAGAACGGUCAACUGAUACUGUCGGACUAGAGUGCAGAAGGGGCAACUGGAAUUCUCGGUGUAGCGGUGAAAUGCGUAGAUAUCGAGAGGAACACCUGCGGCGAAGGCGGGUUGCUGGGCUGACACUGACGCUGAGGCGCGAAAGCUAGGGGAGCGAACGGG